AAGUCCGAACAUAUUCCUCUUCACAUAGCGUUUCGAUAGAACUAUCUGGGCCUGGGCCUGGGUCUGGGCCUGUAAUCCAUAAGGGCUCUCCAGUUUGGGCCAUUCUUACAAGUUCUUCCAUAGCUGCUACAGCAAGUUCAAUGAUCAUGGGCUUAUCAGCAUCUAUUGGGCCUGAAACUGACCUUAAAAGGUCACCAGCACUGUACAUUUCUCCAACAAGGCCCGUUUG
RNAcentral lists this unclassified non-coding RNA (229 nucleotides) under Hevea brasiliensis (rubber tree). Lineage: Eukaryota; Viridiplantae; Streptophyta; Magnoliopsida; Malpighiales; Euphorbiaceae. The record is from RNAcentral.